This 497-nucleotide ribosomal RNA is filed under the name uncultured bacterium. RNAcentral's name for it is "partial 16S ribosomal RNA". It matches the Rfam family "Bacterial small subunit ribosomal RNA", at positions 28 to 507 of the family's 1533-position model. The record is from RNAcentral.
GAUGAACGCUGGCGGCGUGCCUAAUACAUGCAAGUCGAGCGAACAGAUAAGGAGCUUGCUCCUUUGACGUUGGCGGCGGACGGGUGAGUAACACGUGGGUAACCUACCUAUAAGACUGGGAUAACUUCGGGAAACCGGAGCUAAUACCGGAUAACAUUUGGAACCGCAUGGUUCUAAAGUGAAAGAUGGUUUUGCUAUCACUUAUAGAUGGACCCGCGCCGUAUUAGCUAGUUGGUAAGGUAACGGCUUACCAAGGCGACGAUACGUAGCCGACCUGAGAGGGUGAUCGGCCACACUGGGACUGAGACACGGUCCAGACUCCUACGGGAGGCAGCAGUAGGGAAUCUUCCGCAAUGGGCGAAAGCCUGACGGAGCAACGCCGCGUGAGUGAUGAAGGGUUUCGGCUCGUAAAACUCUGUUAUUAGGGAAGAACAAACGUGUAAGUAACUGUGCACGUCUUGACGGUACCUAAUCAGAAAGCCACGGCUAACUACGUG